Molecule: non-coding RNA, 27 nt
Filed under: Cricetulus griseus (Chinese hamster)
Lineage: Eukaryota; Metazoa; Chordata; Mammalia; Rodentia; Cricetidae
Source: RNAcentral
CAGGAUGUGUGGGAGACCAGUGAGGGC